GGGUAACGGCCUACCAAGGCGACGAUGCGUAGCCGACCUGAGAGGGUGGACGGCCACAUUGGGACUGAGACACGGCCCAAACUCCUACGGGAGGCAGCAGUGGGGAAUAUUGCACAAUGGGGGAAACCCUGAUGCAGCGACGCCGCGUGAGCGAAGAAGUAUUUCGGUAUGUAAAGCUCUAUCAGCAGGGAAGAAGAAAGACGGUACCUGACUAAGAAGCCCCGGCUAACUAC
RNAcentral lists this ribosomal RNA (233 nucleotides) under uncultured bacterium. RNAcentral's name for it is "partial 16S ribosomal RNA". It matches the Rfam family "Bacterial small subunit ribosomal RNA", at positions 255 to 504 of the family's 1533-position model. The record is from RNAcentral.